Molecule: long non-coding RNA, 201 nt
Filed under: Lathyrus oleraceus (garden pea)
Lineage: Eukaryota; Viridiplantae; Streptophyta; Magnoliopsida; Fabales; Fabaceae
Description: Pisum sativum (pea) long non-coding RNA (PSAT_LNC033829)
Source: RNAcentral
AACAGCUACAUCACGACUGUCCCACAAAUUAGGUGAGUUUUCGACCUCAACCUUUUCCAAAAUCAUGUAAUACAUCUUAUAGAUCUCUUCACCAUAAACAUGAUGGGCUUUGAAUCGAGACAAAUGGUUAGGUAUCAAGAGAGAAAAGUGGAUUUUAAGUUUGAUGGUCAAAGUUGUUUUUGUUUGUUUCUUCCGUUUUGA